This 459-nucleotide ribosomal RNA is filed under the name uncultured bacterium. RNAcentral's name for it is "partial 16S ribosomal RNA". It matches the Rfam family "Bacterial small subunit ribosomal RNA", at positions 338 to 795 of the family's 1533-position model. The record is from RNAcentral.
CCUACGGGGGGCAGCAGUGAGGAAUAUUGGUCAAUGGGCGAGAGUCUGAACCAGCCAAGUAGCGUGAGGGAUGAAUGCCCUAUGGGUUGUAAACUUCUUUUAUACAGGAAUAACACGAGGCACGUGUGACUUUUUGCAUGUACUUUAUGAAUCAGGAUCGGCUAACUCCGUGCCAGCAGCCGCGGUAAUACGGAGGAUGCGAGCGUUUUCCGGAUUUAUGGGGUUUAAAGGGUGCGUAGGCGGAUUUUUAAGUCAGCGGUAAAAUGGCCGGGCUCAACCCGGGCCGGCAGUUGAAACUGGGGAUCUUGAGUGGGCAAGAGGUAUGCGGAAUUCGUGGUGUAGCGGUGAAAUGCAUAGAUAUCACGCAGAACUCCGAUUGCGAAGGCAGCAUACCGGCGCCCGACUGACGCUGAGGCACGAAAGCGUGGGGAUCGAACAGGAUUAGAUACCCGAGUAGUG